This 508-nucleotide ribosomal RNA is filed under the name uncultured bacterium. RNAcentral's name for it is "partial 16S ribosomal RNA". It matches the Rfam family "Bacterial small subunit ribosomal RNA", at positions 29 to 523 of the family's 1533-position model. The record is from RNAcentral.
AUUGAACGCUGGCGGCAGGCUUAACACAUGCAAGUCGAACGGCAGCGGGGGAGAAGCUUGCUUUUCCUGCCGGCGAGUGGCGAACGGGUGAGUAAUACAUCGGAACGUGCCCUGUAGUGGGGGAUAACUAGUCGAAAGAUUAGCUAAUACCGCAUACGACCUGAGGGUGAAAGUGGGGGACCGCAAGGCCUCAUGCUAUAGGAGCGGCCGAUGUCUGAUUAGCUAGUUGGGGGGGUAAAGGCCUACCAAGGCGACGAUCAGUAGCUGGUCUGAGAGGACGGUCAGCCACACUGGGACUGAGACACGGCCCAGGCUACUACGGGAGGCAGCAGUGGGGAAUUUUGGACAAUGGGCGAAAGCCUGAUCCAGAAAUGCCGCGUGUGUGAAGAAGGCCUUCGGGUUGUAAAGCACUUUUGUCCGGAAAGAAAUGGCUCUGGUUAAUACCUGGGGUCGAUGACGGUACCGGAAGAAUAAGGACCGGCUAACUACGUGCCAGCCGCCGCCGUAA